Molecule: ribosomal RNA, 254 nt
Filed under: uncultured bacterium
Lineage: Bacteria
Description: partial 16S ribosomal RNA
Rfam family: Bacterial small subunit ribosomal RNA
Source: RNAcentral
UACGUAGGGGGCCAGCGUUGCUCGGAAUUACUGGGCGUAAAGGGUUCGUAGGUGGUGCGGUAAGUUGGGAGUGAAAUCUCUGGGCUUAACUCAGGGGCUGCUUUCAAAACUGCCGUGCUCGAGUGCGAGAGAGGUCAGUGGAAUUGCAGGUGUAGCGGUGAAAUGCGUAGAUAUCAGGAGGAACACCGAUGGCGAAGGCAGGUCUCUGGGCAUUAACUGACGCUGAGGAGCGAAAGCAUGGGGGAGCGAACAGG